Molecule: ribosomal RNA, 460 nt
Filed under: uncultured bacterium
Lineage: Bacteria
Description: partial 16S ribosomal RNA
Rfam family: Bacterial small subunit ribosomal RNA
Source: RNAcentral
CCUACGGGGGACAGCAGUGAGGAAUAUUGGUCAAUGGGCGUAAGCCUGAACCAGCCAAGUCGCGUGAGGGAUGAAGGUUCUAUGGAUCGUAAACCUCUUUUAUGAGGGAAUAAAGUGUGGGACGUGUCCUGUUUUGUAUGUACCUUAUGAAUAAGGAUCGUCUCACUCCGUGCCCGCAGCCGCGGUAAUACGGAGGAUCCGAGCGUUAUCCGGAUUUAUUGGGUUUAAAGGGUGCGUAGGCGGCCUUUUAAGUCAGCGGUGAAAGUCUGUGGGUCAACCAUAGAAUUGCCGUUGAAACUGGGAGGCUUGAGUAUGUGUGAGGGAGGGGGAAUGCGUGGUGUAGCGGUAAAAUGCUGAGAUAUAACGAAGAACCCCGAUUGCGAAGGCAGCCGGCCAAGCCAUGACUGACGCUGAUGCACGAAAGCGUGGGGAUCAAACAGGAUUAGAUACCCCAGUAGUC